This 253-nucleotide ribosomal RNA is filed under the name uncultured bacterium. RNAcentral describes it as "partial 16S ribosomal RNA". It matches the Rfam family "Bacterial small subunit ribosomal RNA", at positions 524 to 776 of the family's 1533-position model. The record is from RNAcentral.
UACGAAGGGGACUAGCGUUGUUCGGAUUUACUGGGCGUAAAGCGCGCGCAGGCGGCUAUCCAAGUCAGUGGUGAAAGCCCGGAGCUCAACUCCGGAACUGCCAUUGAAACUGUUUAGCUUGAGGAUGAGAGAGGUGAGUGGAAUUCCCAGUGUAGAGGUGAAAUUCGUAGAUAUUGGGAAGAACACCGGUGGCGAAGGCGGCUCACUGGCUCAUUACUGACGCUCAGGCGCGAUAGCGUGGGGAGCAAACAGG